Molecule: long non-coding RNA, 1483 nt
Filed under: Salmo salar (Atlantic salmon)
Lineage: Eukaryota; Metazoa; Chordata; Actinopteri; Salmoniformes; Salmonidae
Description: lncRNA (ENSSSAG00000082825.1)
Source: RNAcentral
GGCGGCGUUCCGUACCACUUCAGCAUGCAUUUUCUCCCUCGGGUUUGAAUCAUGUGAUACAAAGGCGCUGAGUCUGCGCAGAAAGACCCGAACGUGCAUCCGCGGAGCUGUGACGUCUUUCUCCAGCACGCAUGAUUCCUCCAGAUGGGAGAUGCGAGGUACUGUAUAUUAUGCUUUCAACUGAGGAAAAGGAAGGGAUUACACAAGGAAUCGACGACUGCCAUCGCAUAUUUUGAUCCAUUAAAAUGUGCAAAAGGCCACGUGAGGGAGGCUAAAUUAUCUUCAAUUAUAUAGCCGAGGCAGCCAUGCUGGGCGCUGGAGCUGCACUAUGGUCUAGGAUUCCUCGUACAUAAAGCAUCCUCCAUUCAUAUGUGCACAGUCUUAAUAAAACACUGUUUUCCAACACCAUUUUAGGAUUUUCGGACGUUCAGCCAAGGUUGUGCAACAUAAGAUGUCUGAAAAUGGUGAUGCAAAAUUAUGUUUUAUUAAAGAUGUACUCCGGUACUUUGGCAACUAAAGGUAUUUUUUUAAACCUCCCGCUUUGGGCUGGAUGUGUCAAUGUAGUUCAUACAUGCAUAAUCUAUUAACCAAAUUACUGUUUUACCUCAGUAAGCAAUGAAAUCCAUAGUUUGAAAGCGACUGUUUUCUUGAAGCUGUACCAAGCCAUUUUCCCUACAUUUCCCGCAUUUGAGUGACUGCUAGUAAGAGGCCUACCCAGUGUUAUCCAAUGAGGUUGCAGGGCGGACACAGCUGAGAGAGGGAGGGAGCGCUCAAUGACGUGGUGCACAAAUCCGCGUAUAUGUGAUGUAUGCAAUUUUUGGGGACCACUUUUGUCUCGUGAGUGCUACGUUCAGAACUACUGGCUUAAAAGUAUAAAAAAGUACCGGAGAAUCUCUUUUUAGACUGUACCACAGAAAUGGAUAGAGGGGUACUUCUAGUGGCCAAAAGGUCGUUUUCUCAUGGGCAGCGCAAUUGAAGGCUUCCACCAUUUUAAUGUAUUCAACUGCUUGGGAUUUCCAACUUAGUUUGCACUACUUUGCACCCUGAAUAGAGGAUGCUUUAUGUGUGAGCUGGUACACAAGUGUAUUACCGGCUGGGCGCAUCAAUCCUAGGUGAUAGAUCUGCACUAUUGGCUGCCUAGGCUACUUCAAUAAUAGGCCUACAUUUAGGCCUAUAACCAAUCAAUUUCCUUAGCUAUUAGUAGUAAACUGGGAGAUUAAUUAAAUGCAUGUUCAUGUGUUAUCGUUUUGAUGAUUAAAUUACAAGACUGAUCUACAGUUCUUCGAUGUGCUUCUUUUUUUGUGUUUAACUUUAUUGCUUAUUAUCUAUUGAUACAUUUUGGUUUGUAUUUAUUCCUAGUUGCAUAAUGUCCAAAUAUCUAUGACUCAUACAUUUUUAUACUAUGUUGCAAUUUAGCUUAGUAGUCAUCAUUUGUAAUUAAUUUGUCAUAUUUCCAAAGUAAGCAAAUGUUUUGAGGAAUGCA